CCCGAAUAAGAAGGUCCGGCUAACUUCGUGCCAGCAGCCGCGGUAAUACGAAGGGACCUAGCGUAGUUCGGAAUUACUGGGCUUAAAGAGUUCGUAGGUGGUUAAAAAAGUUGAUGGUGAAAUCCCAGAGCUUAACUCUGGAACUGCCGUCAAAACUUUUUAGCUAGAGUAUGAUAGAGGAAAGCAGAAUUUCUAGUGUAGAGGUGAAAUUCGUAGAUAUUAGAAAGAAUACCAAUUGCGAAGGCAGCUUUCUGGAUCAUUACUGACACUGAGGAACGAAAGCAUGGGUAGCGAAGAGGAUUAGAUACCCUCGUAGUCCAUGCCGUAAACGAUGUGUGUUAGACGUUGGAAAUUUAUUUUCAGUGUCGCAGUGAAAACAAUAAACACACCGCCUGGGGAGUACGACCGCAAGGUUAAAACUCAAAUGAAUUGACGGGGACCCGCACAAGUAGUGGAGCAUGUGGUUUAAUUCGAAGAUACGCGCAGAACCUUACCAACACUUGACAUGUUCGUCGCGACUCUAAGAGAUUAGAGUUUUCGGUUCGGCCGGACGAAACACAGGUGCUGCAUGGCUGUCGUCAGCUCGUGUCGUGAGAUGUUGGGUUAAGUCCCGCAACGAGCGCAACCCUUACUUUUAGUUGCCAUCAUUUAGUUGGGCACUCUGAAAGAACUGCCAGUGAUAAGCUGGAGGAAGGUGGGGAUGACGUCAAGUCCUCAUGGCCCUUACGUGUUGGGCUACACACGUGCUACAAUGGUAUCUACAACAGGAAGCAAAACAGCGAUGUUAAGCAAAUCCCGAAAAGAUACCUCAGUUCGGAUUGCACUCUGCAACUCGAGUGCAUGAAGCUGGAAUUACUAGUAAUCGUGGAUCAGCGUGCCACGGUGAAUACGUUCCCGGGUCUUGUACACACCGCCCGUCACACCAUGGGAGUUGGUUCUACCUUAAGGCAAAG
RNAcentral lists this ribosomal RNA (953 nucleotides) under uncultured prokaryote. Its description in RNAcentral is "bacterial SSU rRNA". It matches the Rfam family "Bacterial small subunit ribosomal RNA", at positions 478 to 1432 of the family's 1533-position model. The record is from RNAcentral.